GACGAACGCUGGCGGCGUGCUUAACACAUGCAAGUCGAACGGAAAGGCCCUGCUUUUGUGGGGUGCUCGAGUGGCGAACGGGUGAGUAACACGUGAGUAACCUGCCCUUGACUUUGGGAUAACUUCAGGAAACUGGGGCUAAUACCGGAUAGGAGCUCCUGCUGCAUGGUGGGGGUUGGAAAGUUUCGGCGGUUGGGGAUGGACUCGCGGCUUAUCAGCUUGUUUGUGGGGUAGUGGCUUACCAAGGCUUUGACGGGUAGCCGGCCUGAGAGGGUGACCGGCGACAUUGGGACUGAGAUACGGCCCAGACGCCUACGGGAGGCAGCAGUGGGGAAUAUUGCACAAUGGGCGGAAGCCUGAUGCAGCAACGCCGCGUGCGGGAUGACGGCCUUCGGGUUGUAAACCGCUUUCGCCUGUGACGAAGCGUGAGUGACGGUAAUGGGUAAAGAAGCACCGGCUAACUACGUG
RNAcentral lists this ribosomal RNA (468 nucleotides) under uncultured bacterium. Its description in RNAcentral is "partial 16S ribosomal RNA". It matches the Rfam family "Bacterial small subunit ribosomal RNA", at positions 28 to 507 of the family's 1533-position model. The record is from RNAcentral.